RNAcentral lists this ribosomal RNA (423 nucleotides) under uncultured bacterium. RNAcentral's name for it is "partial 16S ribosomal RNA". It matches the Rfam family "Bacterial small subunit ribosomal RNA", at positions 361 to 776 of the family's 1533-position model. The record is from RNAcentral.
AAUUUGGACAAUGGGGGAAACCCUGAUCCAGCAAUGCCGCGUGCAGGAUGAAGGCCUUCGGGUUGUAAACUGCUGUUGUACGGAACGAAAAGUCUUGGGUUAAUACCCUGUGAUCAUGACGGUACCGUCAGAAUAAGCACCGGCUAACUACGUGCCAUCCGCCGCGGUAAUACGUAGGGUGCAAGCGUUAAUCGGAAUUACUGGGCGUAAAGCGUGAGCAGGCGGUUUUGUAAGACAGUGGUGAAAUCACCGGGCUCAACCUGGGAACUGCCAUUGUGACUGCAAGGCUGGAGUGCGGCAGAGGGGGAUGGAAUUCCGCGUGUAGCAGUGAAAUGCGUAGAUAUGCGGAGGAACACCGAUGGCGAAGGCAAUCCCCUGGGCCUGCACUGACGCUCAUGCACGAAAGCGUGGGUAGCAAACAGG